This 497-nucleotide ribosomal RNA is filed under the name uncultured bacterium. RNAcentral describes it as "partial 16S ribosomal RNA". It matches the Rfam family "Bacterial small subunit ribosomal RNA", at positions 28 to 507 of the family's 1533-position model. The record is from RNAcentral.
GAUGAACGCUGGCGGCGUGCCUAAUACAUGCAAGUCGAGCGAACGGACGAGAAGCUUGCUUCUCUGAUGUUAGCGGCGGACGGGUGAGUAACACGUGGAUAACCUACCUAUAAGACUGGGAUAACUUCGGGAAACCGGAGCUAAUACCGGAUAAUAUUUUGAACCGCAUGGUUCAAAAGUGAAAGACGGUCUUGCUGUCACUUAUAGAUGGAUCCGCGCUGCAUUAGCUAGUUGGUAAGGUAACGGCUUACCAAGGCAACGAUGCAUAGCCGACCUGAGAGGGUGAUCGGCCACACUGGAACUGAGACACGGUCCAGACUCCUACGGGAGGCAGCAGUAGGGAAUCUUCCGCAAUGGGCGAAAGCCUGACAGAGCAACGCCGCGUGAGUGAUGAAGGUCUUCGGAUCGUAAAACUCUGUUAUUAGGGAAGAACAUAUGUGUAAGUAACUGUGCACAUCUUGACGGUACCUAAUCAGAAAGCCACGACUAACUACGUG